This 447-nucleotide ribosomal RNA is filed under the name uncultured bacterium. Its description in RNAcentral is "partial 16S ribosomal RNA". It matches the Rfam family "Bacterial small subunit ribosomal RNA", at positions 29 to 523 of the family's 1533-position model. The record is from RNAcentral.
AACGAACGCUGGCGGCAGGCUUAACACAUGCAAGUCGAACGCCCCGCAAGGGGAGUGGCAGACGGGUGAGUAACGCGUGGGAAUCUACCUAGUUCUACGGAACAACUGAGGGAAACUUCAGCUAAUACCGUAUACGCCCUACGGGGGAAAGAUUUAUCGGAAUUAGAUGAGCCCGCGUAAGAUUAGCUAAUUGGUGAGGUAAUGGCUCACCAAGGCGACGAUCAUUGGCUGGUCUGAGAGGAUGAUCAGCCACACUGGGACUGAGACACGGCCCAGACUCCUACGGGAGGCAGCAGUGGGGAAUAUUGGACAAUGGGCGCAAGCCUGAGCCAGCCAUGCCGCGUGAGUGAUGAAGGCCUUAGGGUUGUAAAGCUCUUUCAGUGGGGAAGUUAAUGACGGUACCCACAGAAGAAGCCCCGGCUAACUUCGUGCCAGCCGCCGCCGUAA